UAGUAAAACAGCACAUUACACCGCCUUGUCAGGGCAGAAUUGUGGGUUAAAACCCCGCGGGCCCUA
RNAcentral lists this transfer RNA (66 nucleotides) under Bathylaco nigricans (black warrior). Its description in RNAcentral is "tRNA-Asp". Lineage: Eukaryota; Metazoa; Chordata; Actinopteri; Alepocephaliformes; Alepocephalidae. The record is from RNAcentral.